Molecule: long non-coding RNA, 11433 nt
Filed under: Homo sapiens (human)
Lineage: Eukaryota; Metazoa; Chordata; Mammalia; Primates; Hominidae
Description: HSALNT0404840
Source: RNAcentral
GUAGUCCUGUAAGCGCGCGGAGCCCGUCGGGCGCCUAUGGAACUCGACCCGCAGGCCAAAGGGGCUCCGUUGCAAGGAAGAAGUGCGGGGUCCCGCCGCCUCCUAGACCGAGAUCGCGGUGAGCUGGCCGCGGCGCACAAUGGGCACGGCCUGGGCGGCGGCGUCCGUACUAUCGCCCUGUGCCUGCGGAUCCCGGUAACAUUGCGCGGCAGGCCCCAGGCCGGCCUCCCUCAGCUUCGCGGACUGUCUGGGCCGGGGGUCUCAACCUUGACUUCAGGGCCGGGCCGCUGGGGCAGACCCUUAGUGAUGUUCAGGUCCUCUGGGCCCCUGCCAGUCAAGGGACGCUCGUCGCGCGCCAAUUGUUAAGUCUUUCAUUGUUUCUGUAAACCUGCUGACGCCCUCCCAGCGCAUAGGGAGACUGCGCACGUGAGUCCGCCCCCGCGCGCACUGCGGAGAGGUAGAGGCACGAAUGUAGUACAAGGUACAAAAUGACUACUCCAGAGAGGGCCAGAUGACUAAGUCAGCAAACACUUAGGGAACACGACUGUGUCCGCUGCGCGUUUCCCGGAGUAGACACAAGGGUGAAUGAACAAAGAAUGGAUUUCGGUCACUGAAAGUGGAGAGGUAGCCGACUCCGUCCGUGGAGGCCCUUAGCAGAGCUGGAUCUGGUAGUCCCCCGGUCAUGAGGGGAGAUUCUGCUGGAGGAAAGAGGUCUCCAUUCCCACCGUUUGAAAUGUGUAGGAUGCCCUCAGAUUCUUUGGCCCAUUCAUAGGUAUAGCUAUGCUAAAAACGCGGGACCCUACAAUGUACUUAGCACUAGCAGAGAGGGAGUCGAGGAUAUGGACAGAGACUGCACUAGCUCACACAUUAGCAGGCCAGGGUGCGGUGGCUCACCCCUGUAAUCCCAGAACUUUGGAAGGUCAAGGUGGGAGGAAAACUUGAGUCCAGGAGUUCCAGACCAGCCUGGGCAACAUAGGGAGACCCCUUCUCUAUUUUAAAAAUAAUAAAAUAGGGCCGGGUGCGGUGGCUCACACCUGUAAUCCCAGCACUUUGGGAGACUGAGGCGAGUGGAUCAGGAGGUCAGGGGUUCAAGACCACCUAGCCAAGAUGGUGAAACCCCGUCUCUGCUGAAAACUGCAAAAAUUAGCCAGGCGCGGUGGCAGGCGCCUCAAGUCCCAGCUACUCGGGAGGCUGAGGCAGGAGAAUCGCUUGAACCCAGGCAGCAGAAGUUGCAGUGAGCCGAGAUUGCGCCAAUGCACUCCAGCCUGGGUGACGGAGUGAGACUCCGUCUUGAAAAAAAAAAAAAUAAUAAUAAUAAUAAUAAAAUGAAGAAGUAGUUAGCGGUGUCCUUUGGUCCUCAGCUUUGAAGGGCAAGAUCUUAAUUCAGUUCAACUACAGCUAAUCAGAAUUUGGAAGACUAAUUCAAGUCAGUCAAACUCACAAUAGCCCGACACUUAAACCCUGCCAGGGGACAUAGCUCUCUAGGAUUGCAAUGUUCCUAAUCCCUUCCUUCUAUUAAACUACCUAGAAACUGAUUUAGUCAUUAGAAAUUUCUUGGUAUGAUGGCUUUUAAACAUGCCCACAGUUUUUUUUGACAAUCGGCUCCUCAAAAGCAUAGCCAGGCGCGGUGGCUCACACCUGUAAUCCCAGCACUUUGGGAGGCCAAGUCAGGCGGAUCAUCUGAGAUCAGGAGUUCAAGACCAGCCUGGCCAACAUGGCGAAACCCGUCUCUACUAAAAAUACAAAAAUUAGCUCGUCAUGCACCUGUAAUCCCAGCUACUUGGGAAGCUGAGGCAGGAGAAUCGCUUGAACCUGGGAGGUGGAGGUUGCAGUGAGCUGAGAGCGUGCCACUGUACUCGAGCCUGGGCAACAGAGUGAGACUCUAUCUCAAAAAAAAAAAAAAAAGAAAGAAGAAAAAAAGGCCGGUCACAGUGGCUCAUGCCUGUAAUCCCAGCACUUUGGGAGGCCGAGGUAGGUGGAUCAUCUGAGGUCAGGAGUUCGUGACCAGCCUGGCCAACAUGGUGAAACUCUGUCUCUACUAAAAAUACAAAAAUUAGCCAGGCAUGGUGGUGUGUGCCUGUAAUCCCAGCUACUUGGGAGGCUGAGGCAGGAGAAUCACUUGAACCUGGGAAGCAGAGGUUGCAGAGAGCUGAGCUGAGAUUGAGCCACUGCACUCCAGCCUGAGCGACAGAGCGGAACUAUGUCUCCAAAAAAAAAAAAAGCUGGAGUUGGGUGGGUAUGGUGGUUCAUGCCUGUAAUCCCAACACUUGGGAAGCCGAGGCAGGUGGAUCACUUGAGUCCAGGAAUGCCAGACCAGCCUGGGCAACGUGACAAAACCUUGUCUCCACAAAAUAUAUAUAUAAAAAAAAAAUUAGCCAGGCAUAGUGACACACACCUGUAGUCCCAGCUAUUCUAGGAGGCUAAGGUGGGAGGAUCGCUUGAGCUCAGGAGGCAGAGGUUGCAGUGAGCCAAGAUUGUGCCACUACAGCCUGAGCAACAGAGUGAGACUCUGUCUCAAAAAAAAAAAAAGAAAAAAAAAAAACCUGGAGUCUAAUUCUAAUUCCCCUCCCAUUGAGUGUGGGCUGGACUUCACUGACUUUUUAAUAAAUAACAUGGGACAGAAGUGAGUGUAGUUGAUUUCCAAGGCUAGGUCAUAAAAGAUACUGUGACUUCCACCUUGCCCUCAUUUAGAUAACUCAUUCUAGGAAAGCUAGACGCAUAGUAGAGUUGUCAUGUGGUGAGGCCAUUCAAGCAGCCCUAUAGAAAGGCCCACAUGGUGAGGAUCUGAGGCAUCCUACCAGUAGUCAGGAGAGAGAAUCUUCUUGGAGGUGGAGCUUCCAUUCCUGGCGGAACCCUUGACCAAAACCUCAUGAACCACCCUGAGGCAAAACCACCCAGCUAAGUCACUCCUGAAUUCCUAACCCUCAGAAACAGGGAGAUACUGAAGGUUUGUUGUUUUAAGUCAUUACACUUUGGGAUAAUUCGUUAUACAGCAAAAGAUAACUAAUAUUCUUGGUGAUCAGGACUGUGUCAUACUUAGUGUUAUUAAUCUUCAGGAGUUUCAGCCUAAGUCAGCAGUGUUCCCCACAUGGGCCUGCCUUGCUUUCAUUCUUCCUCCAUUGUGGACUGAAUGCCAUAAGACCAUUCCAGCCCAUCCAAAGCAGGAACCAGAAAUGGGCUGGGUUUUGCUGUUGUUUUAGUUGGUUUGGUUUGUUUGUCUGUUUGUUUCGGGGAAAGAUGACAGAAGGUGCACUGUGGGAGAUUCCAACAUGAUUAUUGAAUCAAAGACUGUGUGUGUACGUGAUAAGUCUUUAUUAGAUUCUCUGGGUUCAUAAGCCAGUAAAAGGUAAGAACCAUCCUCUAAGGAGAAAUCUCACAGCUAAGGCUUGCCAUGUUAAAGAGUUUGCACUUCCAGGAACAAGGGCACUCACGUCUACCCUGUGCUAUUCUAGGUGUCUUCCCAUCCUGCCGGAUGCACGGAGCACAUAUUCUGCCACCCCUAGCUCUAUCCUUUGGGCAGUGCUGAAUAAACACUAACAAACUCAGGCUCUGUGGCUGACAUUGUAAGCAGAACCCCUGCCCUGCUGUUGCUUAACGCAUCUUUAUUUUGAUUCCCAGUCAUGUUACGACACAAUCACAUUAAGAUGUUCUUUCGUAUUCAGGUUCAGAAUAUUUGCUCUGCUCACUUGAUUGAAUUUGGAGACUUCCCAAAUCUUUAUAUGAGCACGUCUUCUGAGUUUAUCCAGAUUAUGUUUUGUACCGUCUGUUGUACAAAUGGACCGUGGAUGUUAAUUAGAAGGGCCUCGCCAGUCUUCAAUCACAUGUUACUCGUGGGGUUUGUUAAAUCAGCUUUUGUCUCAGAGAGGGCUUCGGUGCUUGGAUUACACUAUAUUUGGAAUUUGUAGCCUUCUAUGCGCUGACUUGCCCCACCUUGCUACCUGGCUUCAGAGGUCCAGGAUUCUCUAACUUGAGCAUCCAUCAGAAUCACCUGGAGGUCUCCUAAAAACCCAGAUUGAUGGCGCUCCCUUUGGAGUUUGGAUGUGCAUAUCUGAUCAGCUCCCCAGGAUGCUCAUGCUGCUGACCCACUUUAGGAAGCUCUCCUUUAGGAGUUAGCAUGUCUCUGAGCAGACGCUGGACCAGUAUGUUCUGGAGACCAUACACUUCCCAUCCCAGAACAGAUGCUGCUCCCUGUUCUCUAUCCCCAGCCCCCAGCCACACCUAUAUGACCACAGUUCUGUUCAACUGGUGCCCCAGCACUGAUAUCUGUGGGCCCUGCUCAUCUCAAGUGAGCCACAUUUUUCUCCCAGGCCUGCCUUGCUUUCGGUCAUCCUCAGUUGUGGCCCAAACCCCAUAAAACAGCAGCCAUUCCUGGCAGGAAUCCGAGGUGAGCCAGUUCUUUUCAGGAAAGGUAGCAGAACAGAAGAUACACUGUGGGAAGUUCCGGCCUCACACGUGUACAAGCUCGAUGCCCUGGACUCUAAGCUGCUUGAGGGCAGUGUCUCUCUGAUUCACCUGUCUCCCUCACAGUCCUGUCAUGCAGGAUGCCUUGCACAUGAUGGGUGCUCAGUUUACAUUAAUAGGCAGGUGAGGCCAGGCACGGUGGCCUGUAAUCCCAGCACUUUGGGAGGUGGAGGCGGGCAGAUCACCUGAGGUCAGGAGUUCGAGACCAGCCUGGCCAACAAGGUGAAACCACGUCUCUACUAAAAAUCCGAAAAUUAGCUGGGCAUGGUGGCACGCAUCUGUAAUCCCAGCUACUCGGUAGUCCGAGGCUGGGGAAUCGCUUGAAUCCGGGAGAUGGAGGUUGCAGUGAGCUGAGACCGUGCCACUGCACUCCAGCCUAGGCGACAGAGUGAGACUCCAUCUCAGAAAAAAAAAAAAAAAAAAAAAAGCAAUAGGUGAAUGACUGUUCAUACUCCUACUUUCUCCACAAACUUGCACAAAUGUGUCUGCAUCUAGAUGUCUGUAAACCUGCUAACACCCACACACAUUUUCUAUUAGUUAGGAUUAGGUUUGGCUGUAAGACACAGAAACCUCCAAAGAGCAGUGGCUUAGAUAAGAAAGAAAUGUGUUUCUCUCACAUAAACGAAGUAGUUGGGAGAGAACAACACAGCCUUGGUAUUGUGGUUCCACAAACUUGUUAGGUACCCAGGCUCCUAUUUUGCUCCCUCACGGCCUUCACUGCACAGCUGCCACUUCAUGGUCUAAGAUAGCUGCUCAGGCUCCAGCCCUUAUGUUCACAUUCCAGCCACCAGGAAAGAGACAAAAAGGGGUAUCCCAUUUCCCUACAGGUGCACUUCCAAGGAGUCUCUUAUACCACUUCUGCUUACACCUCAUUGGCCAAAACUUAACCACAUGGUCAUGCCUAGCAGCAAAGAAGGCUAGAAAAUAUAGCCUUAUGACUGGCUAAAAGUCAUGGUUGCUUUUCCACAUGAGAAGGAAUAAAGGAUAAAAGGAGGGAAACUGGCAUAUCCUACCUCACACCAGUAGGAGGCAGACGAAAGAAAAGAGAAGUUGGUUCCCAGUACAGGAAUGGCAGGGAAGCUGUGGCUGGAAGAACAGGGGUGGAGGAUGGCCAACAGGCCACAGAGAGAUGGGCAGGUCCCCCUGGCUGGGGUCAGGAAGGGCUUGCAGGAGGGUUUACUGCUCACUGUCUCUCUCUCUUUCUAUCUCUCUCCAUCUCUCUCAUCACACACAUACACACUCAGUCUUGCUGAGGGAGAAUUCUGAGAAGGUGGAGUUCUCUGUAGGGAAGGGAUACAUAUUUCCUACUAGUCAUGUUUCCCUGAAAAUGGGACUUCUGUUAAUAAUACUCCUGGCCUCUCUCUACCUGGGGAAGAGGAAACGUGAGUUACCUGAGAGAAGCUGGGAAGAAAGAACCAAGCAUACAUGAUUUAGUCCCCUCUCCUCUUUAGGAGCCAGCUGGUCCACCAGAAGUCUGUGUUCUGCCUGUCCCUGCAGCACGGAGGGCUGGGCUUUAUACCUGUGCCAAGGACACCAACGGCAGCAUCAGCAAGUCCGUGUUGUCUCCCAAAUAAGUGGUGUUCUCCAACAAGCUUUUAGCAGUAAUAAAGCUGACAUUUUUAUUCUCAUAUGUCCCUUGUCUCUUUUUCAAUGAUUUAGAUUUAAGCAGGAAAGCCUGGGUUCCUUUUGUGUGUGUGUGACAGGGUCUCUGUCGCUCAGGAUGGAGUGCAGUGGCGCGAUCAAAGUUCACUGCAGCCUUGACCUCAAGCAAUCCUCCCACCUCAGCCUCCAAGUAGCUGGGAUCACAGGCUUGCAUCACCAUGCCCAGCGAAUUUUUUUUUUCUAGACACGGUCUCACUAUGUCACUCAGGCUGGUCUAGAACUCCUGGCCUCAAGUAAUUCUUCUGCCUCCACCUCCCAAAGUGCUGGGAUUACAGGUAUGAGCCACCAUACCUUGCCUUUUUUUUGACAUGGAGUCUGACUCUGUCACCCAGGCUGGAGUGCAGUGGCACGAUCUCAACUCACUGCAACCUCCACCUCCUGGGUUCAAGCGAUUCUCCUGCCUCAGCCUCCAGAGUAGCUGGGAUUACAGACGUGCGCCACCACACCUGGCUAAUUUUUGCAUUUUUAGUAGAGACAAGUUUUCACCAUGGGCUCCAGUUUUACCAUGUUGGCCAGGCUGGUCUUGAACACCUGACCUCAAGUGAUCCGCCCACCUUGGCCUCCCAAAGUGCUGGGAUUACAGGCACGAGCCACUGCACCUGGCCUCUUUUUUUUUUUUUUUUUAAGAGACAAGUUCUCACUGUCGCCCAGGCUGGAGUGCACUGGUGCAAUCCUUCCACAUUAGUUUCCUGAGUAGCUGGGACUACAGGCACACGCCACUGUGCCAGGCUAAUAUUUUUUGGAAAUGGGGUCUCCUUAUGUUGCCCAGGCUGGUCUCAACUCCUGGCCUUAAACAAUCCUCCCGCCUUGGCCUCCGAAAGUGAUUUAUUCCUAAAACUCCAACAGCCUCUUUCCCCACCAGCCCCAUACUAGAGACCCCUACUGCACCUUCCCAUCCCCCGCAGAUGAGCAGAAUAACUGGCGCCUCUGUUGUAAUGAGAGUUCAGGUGCCCAUGCCAUCUCGGGACCGUUCCUCCCUGACUCCCCAGGUCCCUUCUGAAGGCAAGAACCACAGGGAGAACAGAGAAUGCUAAAAGGUGAGCUCAUUCCCUCUGUGGCAUCAAUACCUGACACUUGGUCCUAUCCUGAACAUAAACUCUGCACGUGGCAAGGAAGGCAAAGGCAAGGGGCACUAUGAGAAUGACAAGGCGAAGCGACAGGCAGAGACAGGCCCGAGGGCUCCAGUGGCAAGCUUACACACUGCACGGAUUUUGGGACAAGUUCUUUCAUGUUAUCAAGCCCACCUGUCUCUCCUGCUUAGAAAAAGUCAGGUGCAGGACAUGGCCAUGUUAAUUCUGGGCUGAGGGUAACAAGAUUUUGACUCCCAAACUCUCAGGCCCCUUUAUGGCUGUGCCCAGGCAUUGGGAAAAAGAGGUGAUGAAUGAGGUGCUUCCAAGGCUUGCCAGAGAUAUGUGUGCUAGGGCUGCAGUGGACUGGGGCUGGGGUCCUGGUCAGUAAGCUGGGAUGGUGACCCAGUCUGAGAUGGAAUGUGUGGCCCUGAUUCAUAGGCAGGUGACAUUUAUAGAAAAGAUUAGGCACCUCCCAGGCUGAACACUCUGUCACUGAGCCCAUCCACCCUCACCCUCGGCCUCAACGCUCCUUGCCAUAGCUGGGGGGCAGGGGUGGAAGGGUGACCUUCCAACAUCCUGACCCAUGUAUAGAAGAAAGUAACUCAGGGAGGCCGGGCACGGUGGCUCACGCCUGUAAUCCCAGCACUUUGGGAGGCCGAGGCGGGCAGAUCACAAGGUCAGGAGAUCGAGACCAUCCUGGCUAACACGGUGAAACCCCGUCUCUACUAAAAAUACAAAAAAUUAGCCGGGCGUGGUGGCAGGCACCUGUAGUCCCAACUACUCGGGAGGCUGAGGCAGGAGAAUGGUGUGAACCCGGGAGGUGGAGCUUGCAGUGAGCCGAGGUCGCGCCACUGCACUCCAGCCUGGGCAACAGAGUGAGACUCCGUCUCAACAGAAAAAAAAAAAGGAAAAAGUAACUCAGGGAGCUUCCUGGCCAAACAGACACCGCUCCUCAGCCCAGUGCUCCUGAUGGGGUGCUCCCAUCCCCAGUCCUGCCCAGCUUCUGCCUUUGCCAUGUCCCCCUGUUCCCUUCCUGUGUCAGUACCAUCCUCUCCCCGCCCAUCGUCACUUGCUCCAGGGAACUCUGGCCCAAAAGAGGCCAGCUGGCCCAAAGCGCCUGAAAUGCUGGCAAGGGACAGAGCCCUUGGCACGGUCCCUGUGGAGGGUCAGGCUGGGUCAUGGCUCCAAGUGCAGGCAGAGGAGAGAGCACUAGAGAUUCAGGCUCUGAGUUGCCCCCAGGGCCAGUUGCGCCAGGCUGGCUCCUUCUGCCCAGUCCACUGUAUCCACGUUGAAGACAGGCUGGUUUCUUGUGGGAAAGGGGCAAUAAAAAGGAGAGGAGAGGAGGGAAUAGGAGAAAGGAGAAGCUAGAAAGAAAGAAAGAAAAGGAAAGGCAAGAGAAGCUUGAUCAAGGAAAUUUUAAAACCCAACAGAGAUGAAGAGGAGGGAGGAAGGAAACAUCAGAAACAUCAGUAGACAGAGUUCUUUUUCUUUUCUUUUUCUUUCUUUCUUUUUUUUUUUUUUUAGAGACUGGGUCUCCUUCUGUUGCCCAGGCUGGAGUGCAGUCACUCAGUCUCGACUCACUGCAGCCCCGACCUCCUGGGCUCAAGCAAUCCUCCUACCUCAGCCUCCCCACCACACCCAGCUAAAUUUUGUAUUUUUUGGCAGAUAUGGGGUUUCGACGUGUUGCCCAAGCUGGUCUCAAACUCCUGAGCACAAGCAAUCCACCCGCCUUGGCUUCCCAAAGUGCUGGGAUUACAAGAGUAUGAACCACUGCACCCAGUCUGACAGAGUUCUUUUUUUGUUUGUUUUGUGUUUUGUUUUGUUCUGUUUUUUUUUUGAGACGGAGUCUCACUCUGUUGCCCAGGCUGGAGUGCAAUGGCACAAUCUCGCCUCAGAGCAACCUCCGCCUCCCGGGUUCAAGUGAUUCUCCCCCUUCAGCCUCUGGAGUAGCUGGGAUUACAGUCUCCCACCAUCAUGCCUGGCUAAUUUUUGUAGAGAUGGGGUUUCACCAAGUUGGCCAAGCUGGUCUUGAACUCCUAACCUCAGGUGAUCCACCUGCUUUGGCCUCCCAAACUGCUGGGAUUACAGGCUGGAGCCAGCGUGCCUGGCCCCUGACAGAGUUCUAAGCAUGUGGGAAGCAUGCGAAGUCCACGCAAGUCCCUGGGCUGGGCUGCUAGCCUCCCUGCUUGGUACCUGGUGGCUGUUCCCCAGGAGGGCAGAUAGACUCCCUGCUCUCUGCCCUCUUGUCAUUGUGAGCUCCCUGGCCCAUCCCUAGGCUGCACUGCACUUCCCAGUCAGGGCAGUGCCUGGACCCUCCAAAUACAGCUCCUGCCAUGGCCUCUUCCGAAUCCUAGGGGCAAACGGGGCAUUGAUGCACUUAGCUCAGCCCUCACACUCUCCUGCCACCGACCCUGAGAAGGGGCAGCUGGCACCAGAGAGUCUCUGAGCUGAACCUGGGCUCAUUCUGCAAGAUCCUUCCUAGGGAGACUGGCAUGCAGGCAAGGGGAUCAGCUCCUGAAGGCCCCCAGACUCCCAUAGGAGGGGAGGGAACUCCAGGGAUAGGCAGAGGGAAGGCUCCUGGGGGAGUCAGUUGCCCUCCAGAGCCCAGGCUUACGGGUGGGCUGAGCAGAUGGAGCCACUGCCUGAUGCUGUCUCCCCAUGCCCUGACUCCAAGUGACCCCACUGGCUGCUGCCCCUGUGGCUCCAGCCAUGGAUGGGUCCCAGCCUUUGACUGGCUGCACUUCAUUGUAUUUGAUGGUUACUUUUUGGAGUCAACUUGACUGGAUUGAGGGACACCUAGAUAGCUGGUAAAGCAGUGUCUUGUGAGGCUGCUUCCAGAGGAGACUGGCGUAUGAGUUGGUAGGCUGAGUGGGGAAGACGCCCUGUCAAUAUGGGAGGGUACCAUCCAAUCAGCUGGGAGCCUCGGUAGGACAAAAAGGCAGAGGAAGGGCAAAUUUGCUGUCUCUCUCCUGGAGCUGGGACAGCCUUCUUCUCCUGCCCUUGGACAUCAGAAGUCUAAGGGUCUUGACCUUUAGAUGCUGGGACUUGCACCAGCAGCCCCCCAGGUUCUCAGGCCUUCAGUCUCAGACUGAGUCACACCUUCAGCUCCCCUGGUUCAGAGGCUUUCAGAUUUGAACUGAGCCAUGCUCCCAGCAGCCCCAGGUCUCCAGGCGGCCUGUCGUAGGACUUCUCAGGCCUCCAUAAUCACGUGGAGCCAAUUCACCUAAUAAAUCCCUUCUCAUCUAUCUGUCUGUCUCCUAUCUCUAUCUAUCUAUCUAUCUAUCUAUCUAUCUAUCUAUCUAUCUAUCUAUCUAUCUACCUACCUACCUACCUGCAUGCUAUAGGUUCUGUCUCUCUGGAGAACCCUAAUACGGUUGGGAUGCAAAUUGGAAGGCACACCACCUGUUAAGUAGUCCUGCUGAAAGAAUCAAUCCUAAAUCUUAUCAAGACUUGAGAUCCAGGCGGGGCGCAGUGGCUCAGGCCUGUAAUCCCGGCACUUUGGGAGGCUGAGGCAGGCAGAUCACUUGAGGUCAGGAGUUCAAGACCAGCCUGGACAACAUGGUGAGACCCCGUCUCUACUAAAAUACAAAAAUUCGCUGGGCACGUUGGCUCAUGCCUAUAAUCCCAGCACUUUGGGAGGUGGCUGGAUCACCUGAGGUCAGGAGUUCGAGACCAGCCUGGCCUACUAAAAAUACAAAAAUUAGCCGGGCGUGGUGGUGUGCAUUUGUAAUCCCAGCUACUUGGGAGGCUGAGGCAGGAGAAUUGCUUGAACCUGGAAGGCAGAGGUUGCAGUGAGCCAAGAUGGUGCCAUUGCACUCCAGCCUGGGUGACAAGAGCAAAGACUUCAUCUCAAAAAAAUAAAAAAUAAAAAUAAAAAAAUUAGGGAGGGCGUGGUGGCUCACGCCUGUAAUCCCAGCACUUUGGGAGGCCGAGGUGGGCAGAUCAUGAGGUCAGGAGUUCAAGACCAGCCUAGUCAACAUGGUGAAACCCCGUCCCUACUAAAAAUACAAAAAUUAGCCAGGUGUGGUGGCGCACACCUGUAAUCCCAGCUACUCGGGGGGCUGAGGCAGGAUAAUUGCUUGAACCCGGGAGGCAGGGGUUGCAGUGAGCCGAGAUCGCACCAUUGCACUCCAUCUGUGGGCGACAGAGCAAGACUCCAUCUCGAAAAAAAUAAUAAUACAAAAUUAGCCGGGCAUGGUGGUGUGCGCCUGUGGUCCAGAUGAGGCAGGAGAAUAGCCUG